GUUUGCUUCAGCUGCACAUAUACUAAAGCUGGAACAACAUGAAAGAUCAGUAUGGACCCUGAACAAAGAUGACACACACAUUCAUGAAACAUUCCAUGUUAAA
Cervus hanglu yarkandensis (Yarkand deer) is the source of this 103-nucleotide small nuclear RNA. The record is from Ensembl. NCBI's taxonomy places the organism in Eukaryota, Metazoa, Chordata, Mammalia, Artiodactyla, Cervidae.